UCCUGGGAUCGAGCCCUGGGUCAGCCUCCUUGCUCAGCCGGGAGUCGGCUUCUCCCUCUCACUGGGCCCGCUGCUCCCCCUGCUUGUGCUCUGUCUCUAUCAAAUAAAAUCUUUUUAAAUUUUUUAAAUAAACUUCUUUUUAAAUAAAAUUAAUACAAUAUAACACAAUAAGACCCUGAGUAAGUCUUAGUGUUUUCCUCUUGUGAGUGACCCAGAGGUCUAUGAUAAGCAGUCACGUGUGACUUUUCAGAGAACCGUGUAGAACCUUCACCUGAUCUAGGGGUCGGGCCCUGCAGUUUUGCUGUUGUCCCAACAUCACUGAAUACUCAGCAAUGCUCCAGAAACCAUAGGAAGUAAUGCAACUGUUUGGAAGAGGGUCAUGAGGUAAGAAUAGGUGGUUAACUUACAGAAUGAGAAUAAGCACAACAGCUCUGGACUGAGAUUUCUUUAAAAGAUUUAUUUAUUUUUGUGUUAGAGAGCGCAAGCAUGUGGAGGGGGAGGGGCAGAGGGAGAAGCAGACUCCCCCAUGAGCAGGGAGCCGGACAGAGGACUCGAUCCCAGGAGCCCAGGAUCAUGACCUGAGCAGAAGGCAGUUAACUGAGCCACCCAGGCACCCUGAGAAUUCUUUUUAAGGAGCAACAUAGGAACCGAAGAAACAUUCCCAUGUUCCAGGGUUGCUCGACUUCCACACUGUCGACUUUUUGGUCCAGAAGAGUCUUUGUCAUGGAGGGCUGCCCUGCACACGGUCUACCCACCGGACGGUCACAAGCACCUCCACUCGGUUGUGACCAUCGUGAUGUCUCUAGAACUACUGCCAUGUUGGAACAUUUGGAGAUUCUAGAAGCUCGAGGGAAGUAUCUCCCCGGGAGACCACGCAGCUGCUGCGGACCCCGCCCAGGAGCCGCUUGGGACUCCGGUUCCUGUUCGGUGUGUUCCCUCGUCCAGACCAGAAGCCGAAUCCUGCUACCACGCGGCACAGCGGCCGGCGUGCAGGAGAGCGGCUCGGAGGACCAGAAGCCCACGAACAAGAGCCCCGUAACUUGGUCUGGAGCCGCAGUGCGUGCUUGCAGGGAACCCUUCCAGAAAACUGGAAGCUCCAGGGCGGUCUGCCCGGAGCGAGACCGAGGGCGAAACCCCAGGGCUCACAUCCUGCCCGACAGAGCGCUUCACCUAAAACCCGGCUCCCCACCCAGCGCUGAGGACGGGAAGGGGAUGGAGCAC
RNAcentral lists this long non-coding RNA (1221 nucleotides) under Canis lupus dingo (dingo). Its description in RNAcentral is "lncRNA (ENSCAFG00020022224.1)". Lineage: Eukaryota; Metazoa; Chordata; Mammalia; Carnivora; Canidae. The record is from RNAcentral.